AUGAAAAAGAGAAAAUGUCCAGGAAACCCGUGUUGCUCCUUCUGUAAAAGGCUGGAGACAGCCCAACAUCUCUUUUUUACUUGCCCUGUGGCCAGAGUAGUAUGGCGAUCCAUCGGGGUGGUGCUGGGCACUGACAAGUGGCCCAAAAACUACUGGCAAUAUUUCGUGUGGUGUCACAAAUUUCUUCCUGGGAAGAAGUCUUUUUACACGGUGGGCCUGGCGGCCACCUGUUGGGCUAUAUGGUUGUCACGCAAUCGGGCCACUUUUGAAAAAAAACUAAUCAAGACUCCUUUUGAGAUUGUGUUUUCUCUGUGCUCCUUUCUGUUAUACUGGACAGGUCUACAACAAGGGGAUGCCGCCAGGGAGCUGCGUACGGGUGCGGAGAUGAUCAGGGCUAGCACAAUGCAGCUGAUGAAGAUGUGCGCCGCCGCCAAACAAACGAUCCAGGGCACCUAA
This 456-nucleotide ribosomal RNA is filed under the name Triticum aestivum (bread wheat). Its description in RNAcentral is "partial small subunit ribosomal RNA". Lineage: Eukaryota; Viridiplantae; Streptophyta; Magnoliopsida; Poales; Poaceae. The record is from RNAcentral.